Molecule: ribosomal RNA, 382 nt
Filed under: uncultured marine Chaetocerotaceae
Lineage: Eukaryota; Bacillariophyta; Thalassiosirophyceae; Chaetocerotales; Chaetocerotaceae
Description: SSU rRNA
Rfam family: Eukaryotic small subunit ribosomal RNA
Source: RNAcentral
AGCUCCAAUAGCGUAUAUUUUAGUUGUUGCAGUUAAAAAGCUCGUAGUUGAAUUUCUGGUGGGAGAGGGCAGUCCGACCUUUUUGGUGGGUACUCGUCCUUUCCGGCCAUCCUUGGGUGGAAUCUAUCUGGCAUUAAGUUGUCGGGCAGGGGAUGCCCAUCGUUUACUGUGAAAAAAUUAGAGUGUUCAAAGCAGACUUAUGUCGUUGAAUAUAUUAGCAUGGAAUAAUAAAAUAGGACCGCAGUGCUAUUUUGUUGGUUUGCGCACCGUGGAAAUGAUGAAUAGGGACAGUUGUGGGUAUUCGUAUUCAGUUGUAAGAGGUGAAAUUCUUAGAUUAACGGAAGACGAACUACUGCGAAAGCAUUUACCAAGGAUGUUUUCA